RNAcentral lists this ribosomal RNA (397 nucleotides) under uncultured bacterium. RNAcentral describes it as "partial 16S ribosomal RNA". It matches the Rfam family "Bacterial small subunit ribosomal RNA", at positions 523 to 918 of the family's 1533-position model. The record is from RNAcentral.
AUACGUAGGGGGCGAGCGUUGUCCGGAUUUACUGGGCGUAAAGGGCGCGUAGGCGGCGCGGUAAGUCUGGAGUGAAAGUCCUGCUUUCAAGGUGGGAAUUGCUUUGGAUACUGCCGCGCUUGAGUGCAGGAGAGGUUAUCGGAAUUCCCGGUGUAGCGGUGAAAUGCGUAGAGAUCGGGAGGAACACCAGUGGCGAAGGCGGGUAACUGGACUGCAACUGACGCUGAGGCGCGAAAGUGUGGGGAGCAAACAGGAUUAGAUACCCUGGUAGUCCACACUGUAAACGAUGAAUGCUAGGUGUAAGAGGUAUCGACCCCUUUUGUGCCGGAGUCAACACAAUAAGCAUUCCGCCUGGGGAGUACGGCCGCAAGGUUGAAACUUAAAGGAAUUGACGGGG